AGACGUCUACAUUAGAUACCCGCGUAGUCCCAGCCGUAAACUAUGCGCGUUAGGUGUAUCGGUGACCACGAGUUACCGAGGUGCCGAAGGGAAACCGUGAAACGUGCCGCCUGGGAAGUACGGUCGCAAGGCUGAAACUUAAAGGAAUUGGCGGGGAGCACCACAACGGGUGGAGCCUGCGGUUUAAUUGGACUCAACGCCGGGAAGCUCACCGGAUAGGACAGCAGAAUGAUUGCCGGGCUGAAGACCCUGCAUGACUAGCUG
RNAcentral lists this ribosomal RNA (264 nucleotides) under uncultured archaeon. Its description in RNAcentral is "partial 16S ribosomal RNA". It matches the Rfam family "Archaeal small subunit ribosomal RNA", at positions 717 to 982 of the family's 1478-position model. The record is from RNAcentral.